CACGUAGGCGGAUUAGAAAGUUGGGGGUGAAAUCCCAGGGCUCAACCCUGGAACUGCCUCCAAAACUCCUAGUCUAGAGUUCGAGAGAGGUGAGUGGAAUUCCGAGUGUAGAGGUGAAAUUCGUAGAUAUUCGGAGGAACACCAGUGGCGAAGGCGGCUCACUGGCUCGAUACUGACGCUGAGGUGCGAAAGUGUGGGGAGCAAACA
RNAcentral lists this ribosomal RNA (207 nucleotides) under uncultured bacterium. RNAcentral's name for it is "partial 16S ribosomal RNA". It matches the Rfam family "Bacterial small subunit ribosomal RNA", at positions 568 to 774 of the family's 1533-position model. The record is from RNAcentral.